AUGGCUUUGAAACUUUUAUAUCUUGUUCAGUAUUAUAGUCUCUAUCAAUAGGCAAGAGUACAUAACUCUGUCAUCUUUUUUGGCUGAAUUAUGGCCCUUUUUGAACUUGGAAAUUGGUUCUGUUUUGGUAUAUGUCCAUGUUUUGUCGAGACUAUAAAAUUAUUUUGACAUAUGGCUUUUAAACUUUAAACUUUUGUUUAUCAUUAUGAUUUCCAUCUGUAGGCAAGAGUACAUAACUCUGACAACUAUUUUGGCUGAAUUAUGGCUCUUUUUUCGACUUCGAAAUUUUUGUCAGAACUAUUUGAACUGUGGCUUUGAAACUUUUAACACUAAUAUAUCAACAUGAUUUUCAUCUGUAGGCAAGUGUACAUAACUCUGUCAACUAUUUUGACUGAAUUAUGACCCUUUUUGGACUUGGAAAUUAGUUAAAUUUUUCAUACAAGUCCAUAUUUUGCCUAACAUAUAACUUAAUAACAUAUUUGCCAUCAUGGUCACACAUUGCCAUUUAGUGCAAGACUAAUCGAAAUCCACAAAUACAGGAACAUUUUUUGCUGAAUCCAUUUUUUUCUUUUGUCUGAAAAUCUAUGGAAGUAUUUUGACCCCAUUCUUCAAUCAAUUCUUUGAAUAGUCGAGCGCGCUGUCAUCCGACAGCUCUUGUUCACUUCACGAAUUGGUCUGAAAAGUCAAAAAUCGGUCCAAAACCGACAAACCGGCAAAUUUCCGAAGCCCUGAUUACAUGUACAUUUCUCUGUAUGAUCAAUUCAGACAUUACUCAACAUAAAAUGAAUAAAAAAAAGUGUUCAUUUUUUAGCUCACCUGUCACGAAGUGACAAGUUGAGCUAUUGUGACCGCUUGAUGUCCGAUGUCCAUCGUGCGUAGUGUGUUGUGCGUCAACAAUUUCUAAAAAAAUCUUCUUAUUAAAAACCACUGGGCAGAAUUACACCAAGCUUCACAGGAAUGAUCCUUGGGUGGCCCCCUUUCAAAAUUGUUCAAAGAAUUGAAUUCCAUGCAGAACUCUGGUUGCCAUGGCAACCGAAAGGAAAAACUUUAAAAAUCUUCUUGUCCGAAACCACAGGGCCUAGGGCUUUGAUAUCUGGUGUGUAGCAUCAUCUAGUGGUCCUCUACCAAGAAUAUUCAAAUUAUCCCCCUAGGGUCUAAUAUGGCCCCGCCCCAGGGGUCUCAUGGUUAAUAUAAACUUAUAUAGGGAAAACUUCACAGGAAUGAUCCUUGGGUGGCCCCCUUUCAAAAUUGUUCAAAGAAUUGAAUUCCAUGCAGAACUCUGGUUGCCAUGGCAACCGAAAGGAAAAACUUUAAAAAUCUUCUUGUACAAAACCACAUGGCCUAGGGCUUUGAUAUUUGGUAUGUAGCAUCAUCUAGUGGUCCUCUACCAAGAUUGUUCAAAUUAUCCCCCUAGGGUCAAAUGUGCCCCGCCCCGGGGGUCCCAAGUUUUCCAUAGACUUAUAUAGGAAAAAAGUUUAAAAAUCUUCUUGUCUGAAACCACAACACUUAGACCUUUGAUAUUUGGUUUUUAGCAUUGUGUUAUGGUCCUCAACCAAAAUUGUUCAAAUUGUACCUCUUGGGUGAAAAGAGGGCCUGCCCUGGGGGUCCCAAGUUUUAUAUAGACUUACAUAGGAAAAAGCUUUAAAAGUCUUCUUGUCUGAAACCAUACGACCUAGGCUUUUGAUAUUUAGUAUGAUGCAUUGUCUAGUAGUCCUGUACCAAAAUUUUUCAAAUUAUGCCCCUGUGGUUAAAAGAGGCCCUGCCCUGGGUUCACUUAGUUAUUAUGUGAGUUAUUAUUAUAGGAAAAAUACUUAAAAAAUCAUCUGAUCCUAUUUCCAAGACUGUUUAAUUAUAAUUACCUGAUGACCCCAAGUAAUAUGAUGUCACUUGACUGUGACCUUGACCUACUGACCUACUUUCUUGUUUUUGUGCCCCACCAUGAGUAUUUGAUAUAAAUUAAUGAAACCUUGCAUGAGUCUUUAUCAUGAUAUGAAAUAGCGCACCUUCUAUUUUUCAUCUGGCUCCGUCCCCUAAUUUUAGAGUUAUGGCCCCUGAAAUAGUCAAAAAUGCACAUUUUCACCUUGUGACACGCCUAGCUCAAAAAGUAUUAGAUAUAGAUUCAUGAAACCUUGCAUGAGUCUUAAUCAUGAUAUGAACUUGCGCACCUCCUAUUUUUCAUCUGGGUUUGCCCCCUAUUUUUAGAGUUAUGGCCCCUGAAAUAGUCAAAAAUGCACAUUUUCACAUUGUGACACGCCUAGCUCAAAAAGUGUUUGAUAUAAAUUGAUGAAACCUUACAUGAAUCUUUAUCAUGAUAUGAACUUGCGCACCUUCUAUUUUUCAUCUGGGUUCGCCCACUAUUUCCAGAGUUAUGGCCCCUGAAAUAGUAAAAAAAUGCAGUUUCACCUAAUUAUGUGCCUCACUAAAAAAGCAUUUAAUGUAAAUUUAUGAAACCUUGCUUGAGCCUUUAUCAUAAUGUGAUCUUGCACACUUGGCCAUUCUUCUUGAGAAUUUCAGCAUUUAUUACAGUGUUAAGGCCCUUGAAAUAGCCAAAAUAGUGGAUUUUUUGUUUGUGAUGCUCAUAGCUCAAAAAGUGUAUGGUAUAGAAUAAUGAAUCCAUUUCAUUUUUUUUUUGAGGCUAUACCCUAUUAAGACUGCAAACAUUUGAAUGAUUUCCCCUUAUUUGUGACAAAUGUACCAGUGGGGGGGCACACCCAGUGUCCUGCAGACACAUUCUAGUUUAAGAUACAGUCUUGAAUUUUUGAUGACAUACACAGUUUUGCACACAAAUCGUAAAACUGAAUUUCAUUGACCAUGAAUGUGACCUACUGACUUUCUUAAUAUUUUAUCAUCAGUUUGACAUUUGAAACAUGUAGCUCAUAUUACUCAGGUGAGCGAUCCAGGGUCAUCAUGACCCUCUUGUUUGUCAUAUUUUAUUGUCUUAUUUUUAUUAGCUCACCUGAGCACAAAGUGCUCAAGGUGAGCUUUUGUGAUGACCCUGUGUCCGUCGUCCGUCCGUCGUCAGUCGUCAACAGUUUGACUGUUAACACUCUAGAGGUCACAAUUUUGGCCUAAUCUUAAUGAAACUUGGUCAGAAUGUUACCCUCAUAAAAAUCUUGGACGAGUUCGAUAUUGGGUCAUCUGGGGUCAAAAACUAGGUCACCAGGUCAAAUCAAAGGAAAAGCUUGUUAGCACUCUAGAGGUCACAAUUUUGGCCCAAUCUUAAUGAAACUUUUUUUUUUUUAUUUCAGCCCACAAGGGGCCCAUUUAUUAUCCCCGUCCAUGAUGUGAUGGGGUCGGGGACCCAUCCCGCAUCACAUCUUACAGACAUAAUAUAAACAUAGAUAUAAGUUAAAACAAAUUUCAGAGCAUAGUAUAUACUUAGUGUAGUAACAAUGUUAUCAAACUAUUCAAUACCUAGUUCACAAUGAUUUAUAAAUCGGUUUAACUACAAUACCUAGUUCACAUAGGUUAAUCAAUAUAUUUAAUGCCUUGUUCAAAAGGAUUAAUCUUACAAAAUAGUUCUAAAAAUUUUCAAUCCUAGAAACAGGGGAUUUUUUAAUAGAGAGAGAGAGGUAUUAUCAAGCAGCUUAUUUAUCUGUCAUAAAACAGACCAAAAUGGAUGUCAAUAUGUAAUUUUUAAGCCAGUCUUAUUAUUUCUCUUAGUCUAUAAGCCUCUCAUUAGAGAACAAGAGGUCCCAAACAGAGAAAGAAAAGGAAAAAAGGGCCUCUGCCAAUCUUAAUGAAACUUGGUCAGAAUGUUACCCUCAAUAAAAUCUUGGAUGAGUUCGAUAUUGGGUCAUCUGGGGUCAAAAACUAGGUCACCAGAUCAAAUCAAAGGAAAAGCUUGUUAACACUCUAGAGGUCACAAUUUUGGCCCAAUCUUAAUGAAACUUGGUCAGAAUGUUACCCUCAAUAAAAUCUUGGACAAGUUCGAUAUUGGGUCAUCUGGGGUUAAAAACUAGGUCAUCAUGUCAAAUCAAAGGAAAAACUUGUUAACACUCUAGAGGUCACAAUUUUGGCCCAAUCUUAAUGAAACUUGGUCAGAGUGUGACCCUUAAUAAAAUGGUGAUCUCAAAGUCCAGUUUGAAUCUGGGUCAUGUAGGGUCAAAAACUAGGUCACCAGGUCAAAUAAAAGGAAAAGCUAGUUAACACUCUAGAGGCCACAUUUAUGACCAUAUCUUGAUGAAACUUGGUCAGAAUGUUAAUCUUGAUGAUCUAUAGGUCAUACUUAAAUCUGGGUCAGGUGGGAUCAAAAUCUAGGUCACCAGGUCAAAUCAAAGGAAAAGCUUGUUAACACUCAAGAGGCCACAUUUAUGACUGUAUCUUUAUGAAACUUAGUCAGAAUGUUAAUCUUGAUGAUCUUUAGGUCUGGUUUGAAUCUGGGUCAUCUGGGAUCAAAAACUAGGUCACCAGGUCAAAUCAAAAGAAAAGCUUGUUAACAUUAUAGAGGCCACAUUUAUGAUUAUAUCUCCAUGAAACUUGGCCAGAAUGUUAAUCUUGAUGAUCUUUAGGUCAAGUUUGAAUCUGGGUCAUAUAGGGUCAAAAACUAGGUCACCAGGUCAAAUCAAAGGAAAAGUUAGUUAACACUUUAGGGGCCACAUUUAUGACCAUAUCUUAAUGAAACUAUCUUGAUGAUCUUUAGGUCAAUAGAUCAGGUGAGCGGUACAGGGCCUUCAUGGCCCUCUUGUUGUGCAUGCUACAGACAAAUAGUUUUGGCAUUUUGUGUGAAAUGUCCUUAUAGACAUAUACAAUGUAUAUAAAAAAUAAAUGUUUACCUGAUAUUUAGAUUCUUUGUUUCAUGUCAUUUAAUUCGAAUACCCAUGUGUUGGGAUAAAAAUCAGUCAUCAUGAAAUAAUGAUUUUCAUAAAUUUUUUCCAUGUUUCUCGACUUAGAAUUUUUUACUGCUUCCCACCUUACAACUGGAAUGAAAUUUUCUAAGUCCAGCUUUCACAGAAAAAGCUUACGCAAGCUUGCAAAUAAAAAAGCUUGCACAAGCUUGCAGAAUUCUGUAUGUAAAUAAACGCAAGCUUGCAGUAGUCAUGAUCAGCAUUUACAAGUUUGUCACAAGCUUGCAAGCAUUCAUUUUGGUUUGGGAUUGCUCAGGUGAGCAAUUCAGGGUCAUCAUGACCCUCUUGUCAUGUAUGGCAUGUAACAUAGAUAGCUUACUUUUAUAGAAAUAUGAGAAAAUCAAAGAAAACAAUUACAGGACUGUUAGAUGCAUGACUGUGUUAUCAUGUAUAGCAGGUAACAUAAGGUAAUCUGGCCGAAUAUAGGUCGCACUCGUGUAUAGGACGCAGUGAAAAAAUAUCAGCAGAAUUCUGGAAAAAUGCUUAUACCCACUUAUCACUUAUCCGAAUUUAUGUUUGUCCGAAAUUCCCUAUAGUUUUUAUGAACUCGCCAGUCAUUGUCGAUGUUUUUGGAUGUUGUGGCAAGUAUUUAAAUUGAAAAGUAUAAACUCUUUGUAAGCACUAAACUGCCGCAUCCUCUGACCACUCCAUGAAUAUUGACGCCAGUGAAAACGCAAGUACACUUUGGCAGGUGGCGGUAAAAUGAAGUAAUUUUAAGACUGGUUUGCAAAUUGUUUUGAACAUUACGGAUCAACAACUAUGAUCAUAUUGGAUCAGUCUAAAAUCUGGCAUGCACAUGUUUACAGUUGCCUCCGGGUAUGAUUAAACGGUUAAUUGUUUGCAGAUUGUGACAGUAGGUGUAAGAUAGUAAUGCUUCGGGCUUGAAUUUCUCGAUGAACAAGAGGAUUAUAGACAACUAUCAAAAUUAUGUUUGAAGAUUAGAUAAUCGAUUUCCGGACUACCUGAUAUUUGAGUAUUUUAAUGCAAAAUAUGUGAAAACACGCAGAGAAAGUUUUACACAGGUCUUGUUAAAAACUUAAUGAUCAGUUACAGAAAUGCGUUGUAAAAUAUAUUUUAAUGAAAAACAGCAUUUAUUUAUCUUUUUACUUCUAAAUUUUACAUUUUAUACAAAAGUAAUUUAAGACGCCGGGUCCCGAUACUGGCUAUAAGCUAUGCCCGAGUCAUUGGUAUUUACUCCCCUUGAAUUCUCUUCAAUAUAGAGGUAUGCAGGGUAAACAAAGAUCGAUUUUCUUAAUUUUUGAGUCGGGGGGAAAUGUUUGGUCUUUUUCUAUCCCCAUAUAUAGGACGCAUCAGUCCUUCGAGACCAGAAUCUCGUAAAAAAAUGUGCGUCUUAUAUUCGUAGGAUGACGGUAGAUAGCUUACUUUUCUAUUGCACUGGUAUAACAUGGACAUGAUUAUGAUUCAUCAUUGUUGUUCCUUCUCUUGAGAACACUUAGGGCCGGUAAGUCACACUUGACUGAGCAAUUGACCUCUAAAGCUGUUGUCUUUAUUAGCUGGCCAAUCAAACUCUGUGACCUUAGAAAUAACCUCUGACGUUAAACUUUUCUUCCUAAUUGAGGCGACUAUUUGACUGAACGUGCUCCGCGGAUUACAUGUUACUAACCAGAGGAUGAUUGAUUGAUUCUUUUAUUUCCUCCAUUCUUGAAGAGUAUAACAAAUGUACAGACAGAUAGACAUACAUCAGCAAAUUUACUAUUGUUACCUUCAAAUGCAUGGUCAAUAUGUGAAAACAGACCCCAUUGCGACCCUCUAAUUAUGCGCAACAGAUUCACGCAUUGAAUAGUACACUACAUGUGGAAAUGGAUUGACCGGGUCAAAGUGUACCUAUACACACUGGAUAACCAGCUAUCCUGAAGCCCGCUGGAAAUGUAACCCAGCUGUAAAUCAGUAGCUUUCGCAGAUGCGGUGGUUCCAACGCAGCGGCGGUGGAGGAUUCGUCGCAGAAGCGGUGGAGAAAUAUGGCCGUCUAGCUUUAUUUUCACUGUCAACGGUCUGUAAUUUAUCGUAGCUUUAUGAUAGAAUGUAGAUCCCCUCACGUCAGGAAAAUCACUUCCUUAGUUAUUUGUGAACACAUAACAAACACACCGGCCGUCAGGUACAAAAUGCAAUGUGUUAUUGAAUGCGUAGACGUAGCAGAUGCGGAUGGUUUCGGUUUUAUUUGUUAGUUUGCUGUUGUGUCAACAUUCCUUUUGGAGAACAGGAUAAUCGUCAUGGACAGCCAUGCUUAUGUAGAAUGUGGAAAGACAUUUGUGUCCGACAAGUGUUUAAAAGUACACUCCAAGAGUCAUCAAGGAAUAAAGCCUCAUAAGUGUGAAAUCUGUAACAAAAGGUUUGUCAGAAAAGAUGUCUUUAAUAACCACAUAAAAGCGCACAACACUUUAGAUCCAUCAUUCAUGUGCCAAACUUGUGGAAGGUUCUUUACCAGGAAAUCGUGUCUGGACAGACACACACAUUCACACCAGCCACAUAAAAUGCAUGAAUGCAAUGCAUGCAAAAAAGUAUUCCCAUCAAAGUCAUCUCUAAAUAAACAUUCAAGGACACACGAGGAAAAGAAGGAGUGCCAAAAAUGUAAAAAGUCAUUCUUUCACCAAGAUGAUCACGUCAGACAUUGUGGGAAUGAUCCCAGAUACUUCACAUGUGACAUAUGCAGGAAAAGGUUCAAGCAAAGGCGCUAUCUGUCUCAGCAUAUUAGAUGUGUGCACAAUGAGCCGGAACAGUACGAAUGUCAGAAAUGUGGAAACAAAUACAGCCACAGGGCUUCUCUGCACUAUCAUAAGAAACGCUGCACUUAAGAUUUGAUCAUGCCGCAAGAUGGAGAAAAGGCGUAUUGUUUUAGUCUAUCAGUCUGUUGGCCAUGUAGUUAAACUUCUAUAUUUGCAGUAAUGAUUGGUGGACUUUGAUAACCUGCAGACCAAACUCAUACACGACGUCUUAACAUAAAUAUAUGUUACUAGCCAAUGUUUUUGCACAUAUAUGUACUCUUGUUAGGUAAAAUAUACUUCAUUUUUUAUCUCUCAGACCUUAAAACGAAGAAAAGUAAUUUAUCAAACAAAGUAUGUAAUGUUUGUGUAUGUAGUGUUUUUUUCCAGAUAAUACUAAAUAUCAUUAACAUAUAAGAUAUACGCUCGCAACAGUUGAAACUGCCAAUUGAGAAAUCAGUUUACUGUUUUCCCUACUUCCAAAACGGGAAUCUUGUACGUAGAUGUAGUCACUUGUUUCCGCUCAGAAAGCAAAGUCCAUAGAGUGUAUGGGAAAACCAUUGACAAUAUUUUCGCGAACACAAUAUUUUUGGCAAUGUAGGUUUCAUCAAAACGUUUCCCAGACUAGAUAUUUUCUGACAUAUUUGCAUAUGAUAGUGAUUCGCGUAUCUCAAGCCAAAUGUAAGACACAUUUUUGAUUUUUAGCUCAUCUGAUUUUUUGAAAAAAAAUGAUGAGUUAUUGUCAUCACUUGAGCGGUUGUCGGCGUCGGCGUCGGCGUCGGCGUUGCCUGGUUAAGUUUUAUGUUUAGGUCAGCUUUUCUCCUAAACUAUCAAAGCUAUUGCUUUGAAACUUGGAAUACUUGUUCGCCAUCAUAAGCUGACCCUGUAUAGCAAGAAACAUAACUCCAUCUUGCUUUUUGCAAGAUUUAUGGCCCCUUUUGUACUUAGAAAAUAUCAGAUUUCUUGGUUAAGUUUUAUGUUUAGGUCAACUUUUCUCCUAAACUAUCAAAGCUUUUGCUUUGAAACUUGGAAUACUUGUUCACCAUCAUAAGCAGACCCUGUACAUCAAGAAACAUAACUCCAUCUUGCUUUUUGCAAGAAUUAUUGCCCCUUUUGGACUUAGAAAAUCAGUUUUCUUGGUUAACUUUUAUGUUUAGGUCAGCUUUUAUCCUAAACUAUCAAAGCUAUUCCUUUAAAACUUGCAACACUUGUUCACCAUCAUAAGCUGACCCUGUACAGCAAGAAACAUAACUCCAUCCUGCUUUUUGCAAGAUUUAUGGCCCCUUUUGGACUUAGAAAAUAUCAGAUUUCUUGGUUAAGUUUUAUGUUUAGGUCAACUUUUUUCUUUAAACUAUCAAAGCUAUUGCUUUAAAACUUGCAACUCUUGUUCACCAUCAUAAGCUGACCCUGUACAGCAAGCAACAUAACUCCAUCCUGCUUUUUGCAAUAAUUAUUGCCCCUUUUGUACUUAGAAAAAUCAUUUUCUUGGUUGAAUAUUAUGUUUAAGUCAACUUUUCUCAUAAACUAUCAAAGCUAUUGCUUUAAAACUUGCAACAGUUUUUCACCAUCAUAAGUGGACACUGUACAUCAAGAAACAUAACUCUAUCCUGCUUUUUGCAAGAGUGAUGGCCCUUUUUAGACUUAGAAAAUCAUGGGUAGGACAAUAUUUCUAUUAUAAAAAAAAAAUCAGAUGAGCGUCAGCACCCGCAAGGCGGUGCUCUUGUUUUACAUGUUUUAUCGUUUGAUGUCGUAUUAUAAUCUAGAAAGAUAGUAACAUUGCUGUUGUAACACAUUUACACACCAGUUGCCAUUGAUUCAUAAAAUGAGCCGUGCCAUAACAAAACCAACAUAGUGGGUUUGCGACCAGUAUGGAUCCAGACCAGCCUGCGCAUCCGCGCAGUCUGGUCAGGAUCCAUACUGUUCACUUUCAACCCUACUGCAAUUAGAGAAACCGUUUGCGAACAGCAUGGAUCCUGACCAGACUGCACAGAUGUGCAGGCUGGUGUGGAUCCAUGCUGGUCACAAAGCCACUAUGUUUGUUUUCUCAUGGCAUGGCUCAAAUGAUUUUCAUUUCCAUCAGCUGAAUCAAGGUUUUAUUCUACUUUAAGCUAUCACUUCCGGUUUAACAACUGUGCAGAACUACCUUAACACAGUGUUGACCACAAUGUACACAACAGCGUCUUUUAGAAUGGGCGACAUCGGAUCAUUUUGUGUUUCUACUGAUUUGAAAAUAGAUGCCUGUUUUCUAUAUUCAGCAAUAGCAGACUUUCAUCAUUGUUUCUCCGAAGGCCUGAAAAAAAUGUUUCCGGUAACAUGCUUCAUAAAUUAGGGCAGGUAGGGCAGGUAGAAAUGAGUUUUUAAAAUUCGUUUUAUUAAUUGAGAUUUUUUUUUUUUUUUUUGAAAAUAUUUUUUGUGUCAAAAAUGAAUACAGAUAAGGGGGUAAUGCCUUAAAAGCAUCCAUAAGUUGAUUUUCAACAUCAGUGACCAUGUUUAAAGCAUGAAAGUGCAGUUCUCCCCCAGGGCCAUAAAACAUUUAGGGUCGGGCCAAAAACUUAGGGUAGAUCGAGAUACCGGAAUCAAUCAUUUUUAUACGCUUAAAGUAAAAAUGACGAGAAGUCAUUUAAUUCAAGUUUCGUUUUAUUGUCCAAUAUUAUAUAAAAGAGACACUGUAUCAAUUUGUUUUCAUGUUCACCAUAAUGAAUGUAUUAAGGACUGAUUUUGAACUAGCAUUAUACCAAAGGUAGAGAUGAAAAUUUGCAAUUCUGUCCAUUUUGUAAGAAAAUACAUUUUAACAAGUGUGUUAUUGCAUUGUACCUUAUACUCCAGAGAAUAAGAUUUUGGCCAGAACAUGUUUUAUUAAAAAUUGAUACUGAAUGAACAUUACUAAAAAUAAAUGUUUUAUACAUUUCAAAUGAUAGUUUUUUCUUCUAGGAUUAUUAUAACAGUAGCUAGAUCUGGGAUGCUGUAUUCAGCUCGAGUGAAUUUUUGCCAGAUUGGAUCUCACGAGGCGAGGAAGAGUCUAGUGUGAUCCAAGCUUGCAAAUUCACUGAGAGCCGAAUGCAAAAUCCAAGAUCUAGCUACUGUUAUAAUGACUUUUAUUAUAGUCCUAUUUAAAUUCUGUAAAAAAUACCGACAUGUAUUUCACAAUUAGAUAUAAAGUGGUGAAAAAAUUAUUGUACAUUUAAAAUUCCGUAUUGUUCCUUCCGUAUUGCAUGCUGCCGAACUACUUUCUUUAAAAUGCAUGACCUGGCAGACACAGUUUUAUAUAGCUGAAAUAUAAUCUUCACUUAGUUCCAUUUUAAUACCGACAUUGAGUUUUUGCGCGCGCUAUUUAUAGAACUGUGUCAGGUUGCUAGUUCAUAAUUGGUCAUCAUCUUAAUUAAUAUUUUUAAUCAUCAGUAUCCGACGUUUGAUUUCGCUGAUUAGCUAUAAACCAGAGCAUGGUUAUGUUUGUAAUCAGUGUUGAAAUGUUAUGCAAAGUUUGUUAAAAAAACACGUGCGUAAAUUGUCAUAAAUCAGUGCUGAGACUUUUCGCCACAGAACUGAGGAGCGGAGUCCGUACAGUCUUGCUAGGAUCCAUGCUGGUUGCUUUCAAAGCCUCUGUUAGCGAACCGCAUGGACCCUGACCAGACUGUACUAUGUUGGUUUUCUUAUGGCGCGGCUCAUUUCAUGAGGACCAUUCCACUCCGUGUCAACGCUAACUUCCACGCGUUCGCGAUGACUUUUCUAGUCUUACUACGCGGUGUUCAUCUUUACAGUUCGCGGAAUGCUAGAUGAUAUGUCACAAGAUCACAAUGGAGGUACGCGAUAUCAUUUCGCAAUCACGAUUGGUCUAAUAUCUUGCGAUUUGCGAUCUUGAUUUUCGUGUUUAGUCAUCGAGAUCUGAAGCUUCGUACGGAAAUUUGGAGAAUUGGCGAUUGUCUUUGAUAAAGGAAUAUUAUAUUUAAAUGUUCAUAUUUGGUAAAUUCCUGUAGAUUGCAUUAUAAAAGAAUUUUGACCGUUAUGUCUCAUUUUUGUUAUUUUUUUUCUGUAAUCCGACAUAUUCUAGUCAGUGUAGAUAUCACGGAUUAAUGCGAGUUUUUCUAUUGUAAAAUGGUUGACUAAUUAUUUUGAAAGCUCACUUGUGUGUUUUAUUCUCUAAUGAAACUAAAUAAACCAGUUUAUAAACAUUCAAGUUUUAUGUAUUUUCUUUUGCCUUUCAGAAGAAUACUAACACAUGCUUUAAUUCUGACCCUCUGUCUCGUAAUUUACAACUAAAAGUAUUUAUUUCAGCUUGUCCAUUUAUUGUUCAGAUUUAAACGUUAAAUAGUUACAGCCGAAAAUAAAAAAAAAUAACAAAAAAAAACAAAAAACAAAAAAAAAACAACAA
Mercenaria mercenaria is the source of this 11936-nucleotide long non-coding RNA. RefSeq lists it as uncharacterized. NCBI's taxonomy places the organism in Eukaryota, Metazoa, Mollusca, Bivalvia, Venerida, Veneridae. The record is from RefSeq and is a predicted model, not a curated record. The transcript has 4 exons.